This 250-nucleotide ribosomal RNA is filed under the name uncultured bacterium. RNAcentral's name for it is "partial 16S ribosomal RNA". It matches the Rfam family "Bacterial small subunit ribosomal RNA", at positions 524 to 773 of the family's 1533-position model. The record is from RNAcentral.
UACGAAGGGGGCGAGCGUUGUUCGGAAUCAUUGGGCGUAAAGGGCGCGUAGGCGGGUUUGUAAGUCGAUUGUGAAAUCCCUGGGCUUAACCUGGGAAUUGCAGUCGAAACUGCAAGUCUUGAGUUCUCGAGAGGAUGGUGGAAUUCCUGGAGUAGUAGUGAAAUACGUAGAUAUCAGGAGGAACACCGGAGGCGAAGGCGGCCAUCUGGCGAGACACUGACGCUAAGGCGCGAAAGCGUGGGUAGCAAAC